AUUGAACGCUGGCGGCAUGCCUUACACAUGCAAGUCGAACGGCAGCACGGGAGCAAUCCUGGUGGCGAGUGGCGAACGGGUGAGUAAUGUAUCGGAACGUACCUUUCAGUGGGGGAUAACGUAGCGAAAGUUACGCUAAUACCGCAUAUUCUGUGAGCAGGAAAGCAGGGGAUCGCAAGACCUUGCGCUGAUUGAGCGGCCGAUAUCAGAUUAGCUAGUUGGUGAGGUAAAGGCUCACCAAGGCGACGAUCUGUAGCGGGUCUGAGAGGAUGAUCCGCCACACUGGAAUUGAGACACGGUCCAGACUCCUACGGGAGGCAGCAGUGGGGAAUUUUGGACAAUGGGCGCAAGCCUGAUCCAGCCAUGCCGCGUGAGUGAAGAAGGCC
This 386-nucleotide ribosomal RNA is filed under the name uncultured bacterium. RNAcentral's name for it is "bacterial SSU rRNA". It matches the Rfam family "Bacterial small subunit ribosomal RNA", at positions 30 to 416 of the family's 1533-position model. The record is from RNAcentral.